GAUGAACGCUGGCGGCGUGCCUAAUACAUGCAAGUCGAGCGAAAGGACGGGAACUUGUCGCCCCUGGGUUUGGCGCGGGAGGGGAGAUUAACACGUGGAUAACCUACCUCUACGACUGGGAUAAUUACGGGAAACAGGGUCUAAGACCGGAAGAUUUUUUGAACCUCGAGGUGCAAAAGUUAGAUUCGCUCUUUGUGAGACUAAAAGAUGAACCCGGGCUCGAUUAGUAGGUGGUUAGAGUAACGGCUUACCAAGGCAACGAUGCAUAGCCGCCCUGCGAGGGUGCUCGGCCACACUGGAACUGAGAGACGGUCCAGACUCCUACGGCAGGCAGCAGUCGGGAAUCCUCCCCAAUGGGCGAAAGCCUGAAGGAGCAACGCCGCGUGAGUGACGAAGGUCUUCGGAUCGUAAAACUCUGUUAUUAGGGAAGAACAUAUGUGUCAGUAACCGUGCACAUCUUGACGGUAACUAAUAAGAAAGCCACGGCUAACUUCGUG
This 497-nucleotide ribosomal RNA is filed under the name uncultured bacterium. RNAcentral describes it as "partial 16S ribosomal RNA". It matches the Rfam family "Bacterial small subunit ribosomal RNA", at positions 28 to 507 of the family's 1533-position model. The record is from RNAcentral.